Molecule: ribosomal RNA, 494 nt
Filed under: uncultured bacterium
Lineage: Bacteria
Description: partial 16S ribosomal RNA
Rfam family: Bacterial small subunit ribosomal RNA
Source: RNAcentral
GACGAACGCUGGCGGCGCGCUUAACACAUGCAAGUCGAACGGAAAGGCCUGCUUUCCCUUGUGGAUUGCAGGUACUCGAGUGGCGAACGGGUGAGUAACACGUGAGUGAUCUGCCCCCAACUUGGGUAUAAGCCUGGGAAACUGGGUCUAAUUCCCGAUAGGACUGCAGGGUGGUGCCUGUGGUGGAAGACGAUUUUCUAGUGGUUGGGGAUGAGCUCGCGGCCUAUCAGCUUGUUGGUGGGGUAAUGGCCUACCAAGGCGGCGACGGGUAGCCGGCCUGAGAGGGUGGACGGCCACAUUGAGACUGAGAUACGGCCCAGACUCCUACGGGAGGCAGCAGUGGGGAAUAUUACACAAUGGGCGGAAGCCUGAUGCAGCGACGCAGCGUGGGGGAUGACGGCCUUCGGGUUGUAAACUCCUUUCGACCGCGAGGAAGCCACCUGGUUGGAAGGGUGGUGACGGUAGUGGUAGAAGAAGCACCGGCUAACUACGUG